This is a long non-coding RNA of Dermochelys coriacea (leatherback sea turtle), 2223 nucleotides long. RefSeq lists it as uncharacterized. Lineage: Eukaryota; Metazoa; Chordata; Testudines; Dermochelyidae. The record is from RefSeq and is a predicted model, not a curated record. The transcript is spliced from 3 exons.
AUGCAAGCUAGUUGGUAAAGGGUAAUACAAUUGAGAUCCAUUUAGGAAGUCUCUGCACCAAUACAGCUUGACUCCUUAAUCGCUUUGCUAUGGAAACAACAAGUUUAGGUAUCUUUCUAAUGUCCUUUGUAGAUAAAAUGCCAAAGACCUUUGGAUAUCCAGAGAAUGCAUCCUUCUCUCUACCUCCAAGGCAUGCAGUUUAGAGAAAAAAAAAUACUGACCAACAAGCUCCCCAAGGAGAGGACAAUCUAGGAACAUGCAGAGGUCAUAACCUUGCAUGCCUCUAUGGAACGGACUGCAAUAUCACAAGUUAUAAUAAACAAACACAAGGCAAGAUAGAAUAGCAGACCUAUAUGGCUCAGGUGACAAAGAAAUGAGGAAGAUGGUAUUCUGGAAACAGUAGACGAACCAUUAUUUAAUGCUAUAAUUAGAACAGGUUAUUUUUGAUGGUACGUUAUUCAAGUAGAAUGGAAAUGGUAGCUCGCUCGCUCGCGCACACACACGCGCACACACACACACACACACAGUACAAAAGACUGCAGUAACUCUACAUAGGCUCCUUUGAAAACCCCAGCCUAAGAGGGUUAAGUGUCCAUUAUCCAAUCUCAGCCACAGGGAUUCUGACUACCCAAGAAUGAUGCUUAUGUACAAUAUACACACACAUACAAUAGAUGAGCAUUUGCACCAUGUGUAAAUUGUCAUAGGCUCAUUGACUUCAAAUUAAUGGGCCUAUGACAAUUCACACAACCUUAAGAUCUGCCCUAGUUUGUUUAUAUAUACGCACAUUACACACACACCAGGUUCACAGUGUUGAUGUCAACUAUGUGCUUUUCAAAUAGCUGGCCCCUUUCAAUGAAACAUGAGUUUAUUGGGAUGUUAUUUAAAUUUUCCUUCUCCAAUACAAGAGAGGAAGUAUUUCUCAGCUGUAUGAACAGCCACACUGCUCUACAAUGAAAAAUGGGGACAGAUGUGGGUCAGGGUAACUGCAAGUGCAAACGGGACUAUUUCACUCAGACAGAGAUGCGUUGCUGUAUUUUUCACCAGCCUGGUUCUCACGGGACUGCUCUUACAGGCCCACUUGGAACUUUUUAAUUGAGAAAGGUCAUGAACCCCUGUAAAACUCCCCAUUGUCUUGGGAAGAUUUGUUUCACACUAAUGAUGGAAAAACUGCAAACGCUCUUCUACUUUUUUUGUUUUCAAACAACACAGAAGAAAAAUGCCAUGAAAUUCUCUGACUUCAAGGAAUGGAAAGGACAAACAUCAGGAUUCCCAUGAACUACAAACUUAACAUGUUUUACACUAAGCAAGUCUUCAGGGAAAUCUGAGCAUGAGAGAAUUUAAGAGGAAGAGCGAGACAGUCCUAAAUCCAAAUAUCAUGUUGGGCAAUGAUAAUUGAUGGAAGUAUAUUUCAAGCCUAUUAAAAUCCUCCAGUCAUUUGAGCUCAAUAGAGAAUUAGUAUGUAAGAAGAGUUCAUGUACCAUAUGGAAGCUUGGCUUUAGCAACUAAAAAUACAUCACCACAAAUAUUCCAUGCCUUGUGUCUUACACCUGAUUUGAGCUACACAUUCAUAGACUGUAUGUAAUCCACAGGAGGGCAGGAAUUCUCUCAUUACCUAAUGGAAGUUAUCCUGAAAAGUAACUAACUAUCUAAACUACAUCCCAGACCAAAUCAUUCCUGAUGCAACUCAAAUGAAAUCAAUGGAGUUACGUCAGAGAUUAACCUAAACACAAAGUUUGUGAUCAUCUGCAAGCAGGCACUGGCUCCAGCGAAACUGAAGGCCCGAUCCCACUACAUAUUUUAACCCAUUUCCAAGGAAAGUAAUACACUUUUAAAAUAACUAAUACGGCUGUGUCCACAGUAUGCAUCUCUAAAUUGCUUUUCAAUGACAUUACAGAACUAUGUACAAACACUGCAAGAAAUUAGUAGCUAGCAUCUGCUGUAACUAUUUUAGUUACAAGAAGAGUUAUGCAUACUCAAUUGUUGGGUUUCCCAUGUAAUCUGACAAUUUAUUAUGCCAACUAUGUAAGUAAAGAACAGUUACUUUCCAGAGUAGGAAAUUAAAUGAAAUGUAUGAUAUAUAGUGAGUAUGGAAAAAAAAUUAUCUUGAAAACAGUUUUUUAGAAAUGGGUCAGAUAGCUAAACAGUCAGCUAUCUAAUGAGACCAGGAAAUGGGAACCUGAGAAACCAGUCUAAAAACACCUCUUUUAUGUACUAUAGUUACAU